GUGAAAUCGGAGCUGUUUCACCCUAAUUGCAUCCUGCAGCAAGGAGGGAUUCACGGACACAUCCAAAGCAGGGCAGAAAGGAGAGGCAGAAAGAGCCGAGGGUCACAGUGGGGAGGGGGAACAGCAAGAGAAGCAGAAAAUCCCAGUUCUCAGCAGUGGCCAUUCCUAUUUCAGCCCAGGGGCUCCAGACCCUUCCCUGGCUCCGGUGACGCCCCGUGGAAGGAGGAGGAGAGAUGGGGACCCCACUACUGCCCCCCGCCACCCCCCUGGGGUGACAGAGAAGAAUUCCAAGGGCCUGAGGACGGCUUUGGGGACAGCUGGCACCUGGAUGUGUUCCCUGAUUCCUGGCCCGGAUUCCCCGAGGAGGAGCAGCCCCCACCCUGGCCCCCCGCCGGCCCUCCACGGAAUCCAGGAGCUUUCCCGGAACACCGCCCGCCCUGGAGCCAUCACCCGGCUGGGAGACGCCGCCUCCGCAGGAGCCACCACCGGCAGCUGACCGUGGUCCCCCGGGCGUGGUGUCCCCCAGCCCCCCGAGGGCACAAGCAGCACUCCAAGCCCUCUCCUGCCGUCUCCAACACGAGCCAGCCAGCGGCCAAGAAGGAGCCGCAGCCCCCGGAUCCUGCCCAGCCCCCUGCUCCCCUCCAAGGUGCUGCGGAGACGCCGGAACAGCCGCAGGAUGUGCCAGUGGGGACUGGGAAUGUCCUGGAGCCCCCCAGUCCGGCUGGGAGCCCUCUGGAGAGCCCAGCUGCCGAUGCCGGUGCUGCGGAGCCGCCGGUUGAGCUGGAAGCUGGGCAGACCCCUGUGGGUGACCAGGAUCAGGAUCCCUGUGCUUUGGGGACAGAUCCAACCCCUCCAGAGGAGACCUCCAGCUGUCCCGAGAUCCAGGAGCACCUUGAGGUAGAGCCGUGCAGUCCCGGUGUCCCCAAGGCUGGCACCGCUCAUGGGUCACAUCCCCAGAGCCCAGCAGCCCCUCCACACCCUGCCAGGAGGGAACUCCUGGAAUCCAGCUCCUCUGGAGAGGCAGGGGCUGAGCUCAGCCCACAUUCCUGGGAGCAGCCGCCACGUGGAGCUGGAGAAGCCGAGGCAGAAGCUGCCCAGAAUGGGCCUCUGCAGAGCCCUCAGCCGCCCAAAAACCCUCAGGUCCCUCCAGCAUCUGCAGCAGAACCUGAGGUCCAGCCCAGCCAGGCUUCCCCUGGUGCCUGCACCACACCAGAGACCUCUGCAGGGCCCCAGCACCCGCCUGGGUCCGGUGAGACAAAGCCGGCUGUGUCUGGCCAGCAGCAGCACUGCUCCACGCUCCCCACACCAUUCCCGGCCGGCGUCGACUUACGCUCUGCCACCGUCCUCGCCAAGAAGGCAGAGAUCGAGCAGUCGUACCAGCAGUUCAGCCUGACCAUCGCCGUGGUGGCCACGAUGCUGCUGCAGAAGGAGCCGUCGAUGGAGGCAGCGCUGGGGCUGGCGCUCAGGGCCAACCUCCGCCAGUGCCGCCUCUACCACCUGCAGCAGCUGGAGGAGUUCAUCGACACCAUCGACUCGGCCACCGCCAGCCUCUGAUGGCAGCCACCCCCUCCUGCCAGCUGGGUGAGGGUGGUGGGGGCUGUGACAGGGCUGUGACAGCACUUUGGGGUGCUCAGGAGGGUGCUGAGCCUGCGGGACAAGCUGGGAGGUGUUGGCAGCCCCACUCGACCUCUUGGAAGAGGGAGGGUGAGCAGGACAUGUUUGGUUUUAGCCCUGCCCAGAUUUCUGAGGGCAGCAAAAGUUUUACUGUGGGGUGAUGGGAGGGAGGGCAGCAGUGCCUCUCCUCCAUUCCUGCUUGCCAGGGAUGUGUCCCCAAACCCCAGUGAGUGUUUUUGGGUUUAAAUCUGAAAUUAAACCGUGUUUUCUUUGCAGCCCUUGCUCGGCCAUUGUUCUGUUCCCGCUCUCCUGGGGCUGUAGGGGAGGGGUCCCACAGCGAACCCCGGCUGUGGCAGAGGGCAGAGGCCACCCCUGGGGACCUCCCUGCCCCGGUGACAUUGUCAGUGUCACAAUGGGCUGGGAAGGAACAGGACAGACCCUGCAUUCAGAUGUCAGCCAAACUUUAUUGGAGCUUCGUCAUCGGCAGCAGCAGAGCUGUGCCCCAGGUCCCCUCCCCGCGGUGGCAGCGGUGCCACCAGGGAUGGAGAGCAGGUGGCAGUGGGGCACAGAGGAGUCCAGGGAAGGAUCCCACCCAGCAGUGGGGAGAUGCAGGCAGCUGCCCUUGUCUGGAGUUCCGGCCGCUCUCCCUGGAGCUGCCGCCUUGUCGGAGGCGCUGGAGCCCCGGCCCGGCCGCCGGCCCCGCUCCCUUCCUGCUUUACCUGUUCCUAAUUGCGGGAGAGGCUGGCAGGAAUUGCAGGCUCUGCUCUGCCAACAGCCGCCGGGGGGGAAAAGAUCCCAGCAGCUUCUCCCACCAGCCUUGGGCCGCGUCCAGGACACACUUGGAACGUGUUGAGGCUGUGGCAGGACCUGGCAGGACCUGGCAGUGCCACUC
This 2506-nucleotide long non-coding RNA is filed under the name Parus major (Great Tit). Its description in RNAcentral is "lncRNA (ENSPMJG00000016265.1)". The record is from RNAcentral. Lineage: Eukaryota; Metazoa; Chordata; Aves; Passeriformes; Paridae.